UCAGAGUUAUUGGGUGAAGGCCCUCUGCUGACCUCACUAACAAUGGUAUCAGAGCAGAACUGUUCCAUUUUAUUGCGGAACUCCACUUUAAUUUUAUUUAGGGAGGCAGUAUGAUCUCAUAGGCCAGGCAUCAGGAGCUCUGGGUUGUGUUCUCCUCCAUACCAUGUGACCACAGGCAAACCAUGCAACUGUUCUGAGUUGUUUUGGUUUUUUGUUGUUUUUUUUUUUUUGCUUUAAUCCCAUGCCACAUGCUGGAAAUGAUCUUUAUUAACUGCCUCAGAGUGCUCUGAGAUCAGUGAAUGAUAAACCCUAAAGAAACACUAAGUGUUACCAAUGAAGUAUGUGAUUUUUAUAUGAUUAGAAUGAUAUAAAUCAGACCUAACCCCACUGUCACCGACGUAAUGCAAAAUCAAGCCUCAAGGUAGUCUGAAUUGCUAGUAAAGUUCCUGGGAACAACAUACGACCCAAUGAAAGCACAGUUUUGUACUCAGCACAUGAACGAUGUAAUGGCAUAACAGAAUUUGACGUGGAAGACAAAGUGCAACAGCACAAAAAAGUUGUAAAGUCUCUGAGAAUGGGAUCAUGUUCAUAUAUGCAGCAUAUGAAGCACUGUGAGAGUUACAAACACUUGACAAAUAUGCAGCAACAUCCACACACUCACACAACCCAAACAGAAGAACCAAGAUGGAAACAUCGCUUCUAACAAGCAACUAAGAAAGAGUAGAGCAGAGCACUGGAUUUCUCAUGCUCUGUCUCCUGUGCAUCUCCAAGCUUACUUUGGCAGAGAGUACUACCUCUUAGGUGUACUCUUCUGGCACUCUCAGGUUUUAAAUGAAUACAAAAUGAGUGAAAAAUAUUCCACACUGAAAAAGUAUGUGGCACUGUACUGAGAUGUCAAAUGUUAAGAGCCACGUUUUCAACAGAAUUAGACAUAAAUCUAAAGGUAUCUCUUCUCAGAGACAGUAUGGUAUUUCCACAGGGCAAGAAUUAAAACAUAUAUAAAUCUAUUCUAAACAUUCAGUUCACCCCUUUGAUUUCAAGAGUCCAGAUUACCCAAAACAAAGAAAUUCUGCAAGGUCUGUUUUGUGUACACCAGUGGAAGCAACACAUCUGUUAAUGCCAAGAGGUUUAGUUAAG
Molecule: long non-coding RNA, 1137 nt
Filed under: Coturnix japonica (Japanese quail)
Lineage: Eukaryota; Metazoa; Chordata; Aves; Galliformes; Phasianidae
Description: lncRNA (ENSCJPG00005021060.1)
Source: RNAcentral